This 76-nucleotide transfer RNA is filed under the name Alphaproteobacteria bacterium. Its description in RNAcentral is "tRNA-Arg". It matches the Rfam family "tRNA". Rfam says of the family: Transfer RNA (tRNA) molecules are approximately 80 nucleotides in length. Their secondary structure includes four short double-helical elements and three loops (D, anti-codon, and T loops). Further hydrogen bonds mediate the characteristic L-shaped molecular structure. tRNAs have two regions of fundamental functional importance: the anti-codon, which is responsible for specific mRNA codon recognition, and the 3' end, to which the tRNAs corresponding amino acid is attached (by aminoacyl-tRNA synthetases). tRNAs cope with the degeneracy of the genetic code in two manners: having more than one tRNA (with a specific anti-codon) for a particular amino acid; and 'wobble' base-pairing, i.e. permitting non-standard base-pairing at the 3rd anti-codon position. The record is from RNAcentral. Lineage: Bacteria; Pseudomonadati; Pseudomonadota; Alphaproteobacteria.
GGCCAUGUAGCUCAGCUGGAAGAGCACCGGAUUUCGAAUCCGGAUGUCGCGGGUUCGACUCCUGCCAUGGCCCCCA